GGUAUGUGGCUCAACUGGUAGUGCGCUCGCCUGGCAUGCGCGGAGCGCUGGGUUCGAUCCUCAACACCA
RNAcentral lists this transfer RNA (69 nucleotides) under Marmota monax (woodchuck). RNAcentral's name for it is "tRNA.Ala". The record is from RNAcentral. Lineage: Eukaryota; Metazoa; Chordata; Mammalia; Rodentia; Sciuridae.